CCUACGGGAGGCAGCAGUGGGGAAUAUUGGGCAAUGGAGGCAACUCUUACCCAGCAAUGCCGCGUGAAUGAAGAAGGUCUUCGGAUUGUAAAGUUCUUUAAUUGGGGACGAAAAAAAUGACGGUACCCAAGGAAUCAGCCCCGGCUAACUACGUGCCAGCAGCCGCCGGACUACGUAGGGGGAAAGCGUUGUUCGGAAUGACUGGGCGUAAAGGGUGUGUAGGCGGUGUAGCAAGUUAGAAGGGAAAUACCUAGGGCUUAACUCAGGUGCUGCUUCUAAAACUGCUAUACUUGAGUGCAGUAGAGGAAAGUGGAAUUCCUAGUGUAGCGGUGGAAUGCGUAGAGAUUAGGAGGAACAUCAGUGGCGAAGGCGACUUUCUGGACAAUAACUGACGCUGAGGCACGAAAGUGUGGGGAGCAAACAGGAUUAGAUACCCGGGUAGUC
This 444-nucleotide ribosomal RNA is filed under the name uncultured bacterium. RNAcentral describes it as "partial 16S ribosomal RNA". It matches the Rfam family "Bacterial small subunit ribosomal RNA", at positions 338 to 795 of the family's 1533-position model. The record is from RNAcentral.